This 497-nucleotide ribosomal RNA is filed under the name uncultured bacterium. RNAcentral describes it as "partial 16S ribosomal RNA". It matches the Rfam family "Bacterial small subunit ribosomal RNA", at positions 28 to 507 of the family's 1533-position model. The record is from RNAcentral.
GAUGAACGCUGGCGGCGUGCCUAAUACAUGCAAGUCGAGCGAACGGACGCGACGCUUGCUUUUCUGAUGUUUGCGGCGGGCGUGUGUGUAACACGUGGAUACCCUACCUAUCUUACUGGUAUAUCUUCGGGAAACCGGAUCUAAUACCGUAUAAUCUUCUGCUCCGUGUGGUUCAAAAGUGAAAUACGGUCUUGCUGUCACUUAUCGAUGCAUCUCGGCUUCUUUGGCUGGUUGUUAAGGUAACGGCUUACCAAGGCAACGAUGCAUAGCCGAAGUGUGAGGGUGAUCGGCCACACUGGAACUGGGACGCGGUCCAGAGUCCUACGGGAGGGAGCAGUAGCGAACGUUACGCAAUGGGCGAAAGCAUGACGGAGCAAGGGCGCGUGAGUGAUGAAGGUCUUCGGAUCGUAAAAAUCGGUUAUUAGGGAAGAACAUAUGUGGCAGUAACCGUGCACAGCGUGACGGUACCUAAUAAGAAAGCCACGGCUAACUACGUG